This 72-nucleotide transfer RNA is filed under the name Ruminococcus sp. AM27-16. RNAcentral describes it as "tRNA-Gln". It matches the Rfam family "tRNA". From Rfam's summary of the family: Transfer RNA (tRNA) molecules are approximately 80 nucleotides in length. Their secondary structure includes four short double-helical elements and three loops (D, anti-codon, and T loops). The record is from RNAcentral. Lineage: Bacteria; Bacillati; Bacillota; Clostridia; Eubacteriales; Oscillospiraceae.
UGGGGUAUCACCAAGCGGUAAGGUACUGGAAUUUGACUCCAGCAUUCGCAGGUUCGAAUCCUGCUACCUCAG